UAAUGCCUAGGAAUCUGCCUGGUAGUGGGGGAUAACGUUCCGAAAGGAACGCUAAUACCGCGUACGUCCUACGGGAGAAAGCAGGGGACCUUCGGGCCUUGCGCUAUCAGAUGAGCCUAGGUCGGAUUAGCUAGUUGGUGAGGUAAUGGCUCACCAAGGCGACGAUCCGUAACUGGUCUGAGAGGAUGAUCAGUCACACUGGAACUGAGACACGGUCCAGACUCCUACGGGAGGCAGCAGUGGGGAAUAUUGGACAAUGGGCGAAAGCCUGAUCCAGCCAUGCCGCGUGUGUGAAGAAGGUCUUCGGAUUGUAAAGCACUUUAAGUUGGGAGGAAGGGCAGUAAGUUAAUACCUUGCUGUUUGACGUUACCGACAGA
This 377-nucleotide ribosomal RNA is filed under the name Pseudomonas sp. 15. RNAcentral describes it as "bacterial SSU rRNA". It matches the Rfam family "Bacterial small subunit ribosomal RNA", at positions 111 to 485 of the family's 1533-position model. Lineage: Bacteria; Pseudomonadati; Pseudomonadota; Gammaproteobacteria; Pseudomonadales; Pseudomonadaceae. The record is from RNAcentral.